UUUGAUCAUGGCUCAGAUUGAACGCUGGCGGCAGGCCUAACACAUGCAAGUCGAGCGGUAGCACAAGAGAGCUUGCUCUCUGGGUGACGAGCGGCGGACGGGUGAGUAAUGUCUGGGAAACUGCCUGAUGGCGGGGGAUAACUAGUGGAAACGGUAGCUAAUACCGCAUAACGUCGCAAGACCAAAGUGGGGGACCUUCGGGCCUCACGCCAUCAGAUGUGCCCAGGUGGGAUUAGCUGGUAGGUGGGGUAACGGCUCACCUAGGCGACGAUCCCUAGCUGGUCUGAGAGGAUGACCAGCCACACUGGAACUGAGACACGGUCCAGACUCCUACGGGAGGCAGCAGUGGGGAAUAUUGCACAAUGGGCGCAAGCCUGAUGCA
RNAcentral lists this ribosomal RNA (382 nucleotides) under Serratia symbiotica. RNAcentral describes it as "bacterial SSU rRNA". It matches the Rfam family "Bacterial small subunit ribosomal RNA", at positions 12 to 390 of the family's 1533-position model. Lineage: Bacteria; Pseudomonadati; Pseudomonadota; Gammaproteobacteria; Enterobacterales; Yersiniaceae. The record is from RNAcentral.